UCGUAAGGACGACCUUGCGUUUUCACGAACGGGGACGGCCCC
This is a regulatory RNA element of 42 nucleotides. It matches the Rfam family "Guanidine-II riboswitch aptamer (mini-ykkC)". From Rfam's summary of the family: Simpler in structure and has fewer highly conserved nucleotide positions than the ykkC-yxkD leader. Despite this each of its two stem-loop structures directly bind free guanidine. Therefore, mini-ykkC RNA motif represents a distinct class of guanidine-sensing RNAs. The record is from Rfam.